Long non-coding RNA from Lolium perenne, 1030 nucleotides. RefSeq lists it as uncharacterized. NCBI's taxonomy places the organism in Eukaryota, Viridiplantae, Streptophyta, Magnoliopsida, Poales, Poaceae. The record is from RefSeq and is a predicted model, not a curated record.
AUAAAAUCUUACCUUCCGCUUCUUAUUUUACUAAACCAAUAUUUUUUUAAAGUUUUGCAAAACUGUUUUAAAAUGUAAUGAAGCCUUUCAAAUCUUUUCCAGAACACAUCCCAUCAUCCUCUUCUUGUCCAAGAAUUUCAGCAAGAAAAAGAAAAUAAGGUUGGAGCUAUUCAUAAGAAGGGAAAGAAGAAAACAAGCCAGGGACGCAAUACAGACCAAGUCAGCCCAGGCUUUAGCUCCCUCCUUGUCGUCUUCGUGUGGGCAUGGCACGAGAGGAGCGUGCUCGUGCUCAACUCAGCCGCUCCACAACGCCUCCUCUCAACCACUCCCCUUCCCAUCCUUCUGAUCCCCACGAAAACCUAGCUCGCAUCCAUCUUCCUUCCCUCUGGCCGCCGCCACUCUCCUUUUCUUCCGCACCUUUUUCUCCUUUCUCUGAGAGCAGCGAAAGAGCACCGCCGCGGCAGUCCACCGUCGCGCCAUCGUUCCAGAGCGUCCGUCGCCAAGACGAGACCACCAUGAGCUGCGCCUCAUCGCCCUCGUCAAUAUCCCCAAACGAAUCGAGUUGGUUCCGCUCCAAUUGAUGUGAAGGUCGCCGUCUUUAUCUCUGACCGCUGCGCUCCAGCGAAGUUUCCGGCCGCCUCCGACCUCAUCCGCCCCAGCCGAGGUGUUCAUCAGCUUCCUGGUUAUCUUCGCCAUGGACGCCGGCUGCGCGAGUUCCUUUACCCCUUGGUUCUUUUCGUCUUCGCCAAGAUCCUCGCGCCAGGAGCUUCUUCAAGGUUGUUUUCGUCUUCACGUGUGAAGCACACGGAACCAGAGCGCGGGAAUGUUCCCAACUUCCUUGGCCGCGACGCGUGUCCAGUACACGAACGCCCUGUGCUUUCUUCCUCUUCCGGCGUCGUCUUCGUCCCAGAGCACGUAUGGCUUCACCAUCAAGCCCGUGCAUUUGCGUCUUCCCGGAUAGGAUCGCGAAGUGGUGUUGUGAGAUACGACGAGUUCUCCGGAUGUUCCUCGGCAACCUUUAACAGGCAAG